This 460-nucleotide ribosomal RNA is filed under the name uncultured bacterium. RNAcentral's name for it is "partial 16S ribosomal RNA". It matches the Rfam family "Bacterial small subunit ribosomal RNA", at positions 338 to 795 of the family's 1533-position model. The record is from RNAcentral.
CCUACGGGAUGCAGCAGUGAGGAAUAUUGGUCAAUGGGCGAGAGCCUGAACCAGCCAAGUCGCGUGAAGGAUGACGGCCCUACGGGUUGUAAACUUCUUUUGUCAGGGAGCAAUUGAGUCCACGUGUGUGCUUAGCGAGAGUACCUGAAGAAAAAGCAUCGGCUAACUCCGUGCCAGCAGCCGCGGUAAUACGUAGGAUGCGAGCGUUAUCCGGAUUUAUUGGGUUUAAAGGGUGCGUAGGCGGAAUAUCAAGUCAGCGGUAAAAAUUCGGGGCUAAACCCCGUCGUGCCGUUGAAACUGAUGUUCUGGAGUGGGCGAGAAGUAUGCGGAAUGCGAGGUGUAGCGGUGAAAUGCAUAGAUAUCACGCAGAACUCCGAUUGCGAAGGCAGCAUACCGGCGCCCAACUGACGCUGAAGCACGAAAGCGUGGGUAUCGAACAGGAUUAGAUACCCCUGUAGUC